RNAcentral lists this long non-coding RNA (1330 nucleotides) under Sus scrofa (pig). RNAcentral describes it as "lncRNA (ENSSSCG00035049133.1, ENSSSCG00065030674.1)". The record is from RNAcentral. Lineage: Eukaryota; Metazoa; Chordata; Mammalia; Artiodactyla; Suidae.
GAAAGGCGAAGGGGAAACCACCCCCCCGCCCCGGAGGACCUGCAGAAACGCCAGAGCACAGGCCAGCCCUGGAGAGGGUUGGGCAAGGAUCUUCCGUCUUCGUGCCCCCUCCCUCCUCUCUCUGGGCCGUCUCCUCAUUCCUGGGUACCCCCUCUUCUGUUAGAGGCCCACUCCCACUGUGUAUUCUCAGGACCCUAACCCACCCAAACCAACCCCCAUCUACUUAGGAAAAGCACGCAUCCUCACGCUUCUGCUUCCUAGUUGUCUGAACUAUUGCAAUUUGCCUGACCUCUCUGAAGUGAAAUAGAGCUCCUAAUCCAUACCUGGCCAUGUGCUUUCAGCUAGAAGUAACCAGAAAGGCACCUCAAAUAGGUGUCACCAUUCAGGAAAUGUGUUGACCCACGUGAUCAGAAGUUCGAAGGCGGGACAGACCGAUUGAAUCUGUGUGUCAGGGGCCCACAUCCUUUUUCUGCCUUCCAUCCUCAGUGUCAGCUGCAUCUUAAGGCUCCUUUCACAGUCAGAGUGGCUGCCAGCAGGACAGAGAAAGCCACGCCCUCCACCAGGAAGAUAGCUGAUGCCAGGGGAAUGCUGUGUGCUCAUUGGCCUCUGCCUGGGUUUCUAAACUAGUUACUAGCAAGGUAGGGACAGGAUUGCCGUGAUGGGUAUCGAGACCAGUAGGCCUCAAACUUGAGCAUCGUCAGAAUUACCGAAAGGCUAAUCAGGGCCACCCCUGGGCUGAGGUCAGUUCUUGCACAGUGAGGAGAGGUGAAAUGGAAGUGGGAGGGGAAAGCCAAAAUAGGUGCUUUGAAGAAAGUGCAAAUCUACAACAGAGGUCAAAGUUGGAAUUUGGAAACGGACUGCAAAGAACCAUGAGGGAAUAUUUUGAUUACGGAAGUAAGUACACCCAAGAAUGUACAUUUGUCAAAAUCCAACAAAACAUACAUUUAAAAUGGGAAUUUGGGGUUUUUUUGUCUUUUUGUCUUUUAGGGCCACACCGGCAGCAUAUGGAGGUUCCAAGGCUAGGGGACGAAGCAGAGCUGUAGCCAACAGCCUACGUCAGAGCCAUAGCAACGUGGGAUCUGAGCCAUGUCUGCGAUCUACACCUCAGCCCAUGGCAACACCGGAUCCCCAACCCACUGAACAAGGCCAGGGAUCGAAUCCACACCCUCAUGGAUGCUAGUCGGGUUCAUUAACCACUGAGCCAUGACGGGAACUCCUAAAAUGGGAAUUUUGUUGUAUGUAAAUUAUGCAUCAACCAGGGAGAUGAAGAGUUAUUUUUUAAUGAGUAUAGAGUUGUGGAAUAUAAAAAUUUCGCCUUUUUCAUGGUGGU